Pteropus vampyrus (large flying fox) is the source of this 126-nucleotide ribosomal RNA. NCBI's taxonomy places the organism in Eukaryota, Metazoa, Chordata, Mammalia, Chiroptera, Pteropodidae. The record is from Ensembl.
GUCUACGGCCAUGCCACCCUGAACAAGCCCGAUCCCAUCUGAUCUCGUAAGCUAAGCAGGGUCAGGCCUGGUUAGUACUUGGUUAGUACGAGGGAGACCACCUCGGAAGAUCAGAUACUACAGGCG